GUUAGUUAAUUUUUUACUAUUUUUUUGCAAAAUUUAUUUAUAUCUAGACUUUUAGAAACUUUCAUUGUUCACCUGCUAGCUGUUGCACUCUUUUAUGUACUGUUGCACUCUUUUAUGCACUGUUCCACGUGCAAUCUAUAACGUAUUAACAUUUUUGUGCUAACAUUGCAUCCGCCUAAGAUAAUAGACAUGUCAGUGAUUGAUUAUAGUACUAGCUAUCGAUUUAUUUUGUCUUUUGCGUUAGACUUUAGCUAAUUUAUGGUAGAGAUUAGACUACAUGACAACCUUGCCAUCUCUUCACCUAUGGCUCACAUGCCAUUCUAUGCCAUGGUAU
Molecule: long non-coding RNA, 334 nt
Filed under: Setaria viridis
Lineage: Eukaryota; Viridiplantae; Streptophyta; Magnoliopsida; Poales; Poaceae
Description: long non-coding RNA (SVIR_LNC003712)
Source: RNAcentral